GAUGAACGCUGGCGGCAUGCCUAAUACAUGCAAGUCGAACGAGAGGAAGGAAAGCUUGCUUUCCUGAAUCUAGUGGCGAACGGGUGAGUAACACGUAGGUAACCUGCCCAUGUGCCCGGGAUAACUUUUGGAAACGGAUGCUAAAACCGGAUAGGUAGCAGACAAGCAUUUGACUGCUAUUAAAGUGGCCUUGGCCAUGAACAUGGAUGGACCUGCGGUGCAUUAGCUGGUUGGUGUGGUAACGGCCCACCAAGGCGACGAUGCAUAGCCGGCCUGAGAGGGCGGACGGCCACAUUGGGACUGAGACACGGCCCAAACUCCUACGGGAGGCAGCAGUAGGGAAUUUUCGUCAAUGGGGGGAACCCUGAACGAGCAAUGCCGCGUGAGUGAGGAAGGUCUUCGGAUCGUAAAGCUCUGUUGUAAGAGAAAAACGGCACUCAUAGGGAAUGAUGAGUGAGUGAUGGUAUCUUACCAGAAAUCACGGC
This 485-nucleotide ribosomal RNA is filed under the name uncultured bacterium. RNAcentral describes it as "SSU rRNA". It matches the Rfam family "Bacterial small subunit ribosomal RNA", at positions 28 to 497 of the family's 1533-position model. The record is from RNAcentral.